GAGGUUGAUUUCACAGCUCUGUGGGCUAGAUGCCAAGCUAAGAGCUUGGACAAUUGCCCAAUCGAUGAAAAGUUGUUUUGUUGUGGUUUGUCUCCAGGCACAGAAUGCACAAAUAAAGAACAGUUAUAGGGGAAGUUCAGCCUGGGAUGAUACGAUUUUAGGUCUCCUUCAGAAACUAUUUUGAUUUCUUUCUUCUGCAUCUGUACUUUCCUCCUGACUUCCCCUCCCCUUCCUUUGUUAAUGAAAUUCCUAUCUAAGAGUUGAAAGAUUCCCCAUGAGAGCUCAAAUAAAAAGCCAGUGUGUGAACAAGCCUGUGGGAAGAUGCACUCCAAAUGGGAGAGAGUGUGCAGUGGUUCGUGUGACCAUCAGUGGAAAUGUUUCUGAAGAGUCUUCCCUGAUGGAAGUAACACUUGGCAGCAAAGAAGAAAAAGAAGAUGGCUGUCUGGUCGAGAGCAACUAGAGAGAUCAUUACUCCAUUAACCAAAGCCUCCGUGAUGGCAGAAGGAUGGCCCCCCAAAGAUGGCCAUGUCCUAAUCCCCAGAACCUGAAGGGGCCACAAGCCCACAGCAAAGAGCAGAGGACCUCAGUCGUGCCCCUGCAUGGAACUGAAUUCUGCUGGCAAACCCAGUGAGCAGGGAAACAGAUUCUUCCCCCCGGGAGUUUCCGGUAAGGAAUACAGUUCUGAUGAUAGCAGAGCUAUAUUGUGUUGGGCUUCUGAUCUAUAUAGAACUGUGAGACACAAAUUUAUGUUUUUUAAGGUACUACAUUUGUGGUAAUUUGUUUUGGCAGCAACUUCCCACCCCACAGUGUAAAAGCCAAGCUGCUCAGAAUCCCCAUCUCCCUUUCUCUCUGAUGUCAUUUCCUACUACUCUCCCCUGGGCUCCCCUCACCCCCUCCAUCAACUCCAGGGCCUGGACCAGAGUGAAACUUGUGAGACAUGGACCUUGAGAUGCCAAAACAUUUAGUAAUCAAGAUAAAUAAUAUUUUAAUGACAUAUCAUCAUUAAUACAAAAGAAAAAGACAAAACUUUGGAAGAAAGGCAGGAUCCAACCCUGCGUUUGUACGCCUCGCCUUUGGCUAAUCCUAGACCUGAUCUUUGUUGCUCUGAACCCUCCAGGCACACUCAACCCCCAGUGCUUUGCCAUUUGCUUUUGCCCUAAAUAUCUGCAAGCCUUUCUCCCUCACCUGCUUCAGUCUUUGCUCAAAUUUCCCCCUUCUUAAUGAGCUUUCCCUGACCCUCUAUAUAAAGUUGCAAUGCCUCACGCCAGCACUCCUGGGCCCCCCUUGCUUUAUAUUUCCCCAAACAUGUUACAUGUCUAAUAUUCUAUUUUAUUAAUUUACUACUGUAGGGAAGAUAACAUUUCUUCUUUACCCAUCGAAGGUUUCUGGCAGGGAUGUCUUAACAGGUGAAGAGGAGGAGAGAAUACAAAUUUCAUUUAAUAAAAGUUUGCCCGUACAUAGGAGUCUUCACAGGAAAAGAAAGAUCCAAAGAAGCAUCUAGGCCCCAGGGCUUAUGUACGACGUUGAAAGGAGAGUGACGAUUGUGGAGAAGUAACUAAAAUAUAUGGGGAGACUAGAAGAUAAAAGUUAUUUUAAUAAGGUCUGUUUGUACAAAUUUCCCUCGACCUUGACUCCCCAUCUCUGGUGAUAAAAAUGUUCUUUUCCUCCUGGUGUUAGGAGGGCAUCUUUCACAUUCGGAGUUUCAUCUCCUGUUUUCAGGAAGAAGAGGAAAGGUCAAAGUGCUUUCUUUGCACCUGUUGGUUUUCAAGUGACUUUAGCUCAAAAUAAUAUGUCAAAGGAGCAUAUUUUGAGGUGGCAUGUUCUGAGCCCCUUUAUUUCUUAUUGUUUGCUGCUGUUUCAUCAAGGCCUAACAGUAUGUGGCAGGUGUAGGCCUUCAAUUGGGAAGGAAUGGAGGCAGGGAGAGAGGGGGAGGGCAAGAGAGGAAGGAAGGAGAAGGAAGAACAAAAGUGUGGCUAGUGUUGGUGGGGGAACAGGGCAGGUAUAUGUAUUCAAGGAAGACUUUCCCCUCGGUUUAUUGAAACCUAAAAUCCCUGAAGAACUGUAGUAAAUUUCAAUCUGUCUAAGGAAAUAUUGAUUUAUAAGCAGGGUUAUUUUUUCCUCUCCCAAAGGGGAAAGCCAUCCAGAGCCAGUAUAGUCUAUUAGGUUAAUUAGCAGAUUUGGAUUAGCUGUGUGCUUUCUUUUCUAGGGCAUUAGCUAAAUUCUGUUUCCACUGAAAUUCUGGGAAAUGUUUGAAUCCCAUGCAGUUUGCCCCAAGUCCUUUGAGACAGAGUCUCUGCAAGCUAUAUUUAAUGAUCCCUAGAGGUUUUAUUCUUGUCUAGUUUACUCUCAACAAAUGAAAAUUCAAUUUUGAUGA
Molecule: long non-coding RNA, 2374 nt
Organism: Neofelis nebulosa (Clouded leopard)
Lineage: Eukaryota; Metazoa; Chordata; Mammalia; Carnivora; Felidae
Exons: 5
Source: RefSeq, a predicted model, not a curated record